This 597-nucleotide long non-coding RNA is filed under the name Ficedula albicollis (Collared flycatcher). RNAcentral describes it as "lncRNA (ENSFALG00000026562.1)". The record is from RNAcentral. Lineage: Eukaryota; Metazoa; Chordata; Aves; Passeriformes; Muscicapidae.
UGAAAACAAACAUUUCUGCAAGGUUUGCCUUCUUAGAAAAGAUUAAGUCCAGUCCCUCUUGUCUUGUACUCUGUCACUGGCAGGUUCUUGUCCUGUUUGAAACACCAAAGAAGGCAGAAUUUUCAGUGCUGGUGGUUUGUGGAAAAAAAGAAAAAAAGCUACGGAGGACGUUUUACGUUGGGCAGAGAUUUCAGGCUGCAGCAAGAUCCAGCCUGUGCACUUGUGAAAGGCUGUGCUCUCCUCUGGGGCUGGAGGAAGACAAAGAAAGCUCUUGUGAUGUUUGUCCUUUGGAAUACAGAGAAAACCAGCUAGAGCCCGAAAAUGGCUUUUUUUUUGCUCCUUCCUGCUGCCUCUCUGUCUCUUCCAGCUGGUGAGUAUUCUCAGUUGUGGAGUGCUUUUCCCCUUCUCUUAUUCAUGAAGAGAUGGCACAUCUCUUUGGUCAGCAUCACUGAAACAUUUUCUAUUCUUUGUCUUGGAUGCUAUUAAAAAGCCAGCUGCUAAAGAUGGUUACUGUGUUUUUGGAACUUAGUCCUUGUUAACUGAAACUUCUCUAAAAAUUUAGGAUGGAUUUCUUAAGAAUUGAAGAGUAAUAGCAGG